CCCUGCCCAAAACCACGACUACCCCCUGCCCACAACCACGACUACCCCCCUGCCCACGACCACGACUACCCCCCCCGAUUAUACACCAGACUGCCUCCCCGACCCCUGAGAAACCUCAACUGAAGAGACAGGUGGUGAGAGUGAAGAUGACACCAAAGGAUCAAUAUCUGAACAUCAGAGAUCUUGCUGUUCAGGACGCCAUCUUAAAAGAGAUAAGGAACAAGCUAAAGGAUCAGGGGUUACCUGCAGACACCAAAGUGAUGUGGAAAAAGCAGCCUGAUGGGAAGGUCUUCCACAAGGAGGAAGAUGGGUCUCCCAAUAAAGAAGAGGAGGAGAAGAAGAUGAAGAGAAUGAUGACAAAGAGAGAACUCUAAUUAUGUUAAAUGUUCUCCUUGCAUGUAUCUUUUUAUUUACAUUAAUAAUCUGUACUGGUCCAGAUGUAUAUUGUUUUUUCAUAUAUACUAUUGUUUUAUCAUUUAUUAAUAUUGUUAAAUCAUUCAUUAAUAUUGUUUAAUCAUUUAUUAUUAUUGUUUUUAUCAUUUCUGAAUUUAGUUUAAUUGUGUAUUAGUAUUGUUUUAUCAUAGGAUGUGAUCUUAAGUUACAAAUCUUUAAAAUUGUUCAGUGUUUGAAUUUCUUUUGUUAGUUUAUAUAUUAGAACCUAGUUUUUCUUCAACUGUAGACUUGAUGGUUCAUUUGGAACGUUAAUAAAUAACAUGAUGUGUGAUAGUGAGAGAUGCUCUUUAUCCUCAGUCAUUAUAGACACUAUUCAGACUUGAGAUCUGCUCACUGGAAUUUAUGUGCAUUGACAUGAAUGCCUCAGGUGAAAGUCCCAGUUGCAAGCACAGAUCUCAUGUCAGAUAACCAUUUCAACAGCUCUGUAUUUCUGUAUUGGAUGUUAAUUUAGAUUUCAAGAAAUAAUCUCUCAUUUAUCAACAAGUUUUUAUAUUAAUUAAAACAGACAUUUAUUAUGACCAAAUAAAGGUUUAAAAUGUU
This is a non-coding RNA of Salmo salar (Atlantic salmon), 993 nucleotides long. Lineage: Eukaryota; Metazoa; Chordata; Actinopteri; Salmoniformes; Salmonidae. The record is from RefSeq and is a predicted model, not a curated record.